AUUGAACGCUGGCGGCAGGCCUAACACAUGCAAGUCGAGCGGAUGAAGGGAGCUUGCUCCUGGAUUCAGCGGCGGACGGGUGAGUAAUGCCUAGGAAUCUGCCUGGUAGUGGGGGAUAACGUCCGGAAACGGGCGCUAAUACCGCAUACGUCCUGAGGGAGAAAGUGGGGGAUCUUCGGACCUCACGCUAUCAGAUGAGCCUAGGGCGGAUUAGCUAGUUGGUGGGGUAAAGGCCUACCAAGGCGACGAUCCGUAACUGGUCUGAGAGGAUGAUCAGUCACACUGGAACUGAGACACGGUCCAGACUCCUACGGGAGGCAGCAGUGGGGAAUAUUGGACAAUGGGCGAAAGCCUGAUCCAGCCAUGCCGCGUGUGUGAAGAAGGUCUUCGGAUUGUAAAGUACUUUAAGUUGGGAGGAAGGGCAGUAAGUUAAUACCUUGCUGUUUUGACGGUACCAACAGAAUAAGCACCGGCUAACUUCGUG
Molecule: ribosomal RNA, 484 nt
Filed under: uncultured bacterium
Lineage: Bacteria
Description: partial 16S ribosomal RNA
Rfam family: Bacterial small subunit ribosomal RNA
Source: RNAcentral